This 428-nucleotide ribosomal RNA is filed under the name uncultured bacterium. Its description in RNAcentral is "partial 16S ribosomal RNA". It matches the Rfam family "Bacterial small subunit ribosomal RNA", at positions 354 to 796 of the family's 1533-position model. The record is from RNAcentral.
GUGGGGAAUAUUGGUCAAUGGGGGAAACCCUGAACCAGCAACGCCGCGUGAAGGAAGAAGGCUUUCGGGUUGUAAACUUCUUUGACAGGGGACGAAAGCAAUGACGGUACCCUGAAAACAAGCCACGGCUAACUACGUGCCAGCAGCCGCGGUAAUACGUAGGUGGCGAGCGUUGUCCGGAUUUACUGGGUGUAAAGGGCGUGUAGGCGGGGCGGUAAGUCAGAUGUGAAAUGUAGGGGCUCAACCCCUGAAUUGCAUUUGAAACUAUCGUUCUUGAGUGAUGGAGAGGCAGGCGGAAUUCCGUGUGUAGCGGUGAAAUGCGUAGAUAUACGGAGGAACACCAGUGGCGAAGGCGGCCUGCUGGACAUUAACUGACGCUGAGGCGCGAAAGCGUGGGGAGCAAACAGGAUUAGAAACCCCGGUAGUCC